RNAcentral lists this transfer RNA (72 nucleotides) under Arabidopsis thaliana (thale cress). RNAcentral's name for it is "tRNA AT1G28730". It matches the Rfam family "tRNA". From Rfam's summary of the family: Transfer RNA (tRNA) molecules are approximately 80 nucleotides in length. Their secondary structure includes four short double-helical elements and three loops (D, anti-codon, and T loops). Further hydrogen bonds mediate the characteristic L-shaped molecular structure. tRNAs have two regions of fundamental functional importance: the anti-codon, which is responsible for specific mRNA codon recognition, and the 3' end, to which the tRNAs corresponding amino acid is attached (by aminoacyl-tRNA synthetases). tRNAs cope with the degeneracy of the genetic code in two manners: having more than one tRNA (with a specific anti-codon) for a particular amino acid; and 'wobble' base-pairing, i.e. permitting non-standard base-pairing at the 3rd anti-codon position. The record is from Rfam by way of RNAcentral. Lineage: Eukaryota; Viridiplantae; Streptophyta; Magnoliopsida; Brassicales; Brassicaceae. RNAcentral also lists the same sequence under 2 other names.
GGGCAUUUGGUCUAGUGGUAUGAUUCUUGCUUAGGGUGCGAGAGGCCCGGAGCUCAAUUCUCGGAAAACCCC